UACGAAGGGGGCUAGCGUUGUUCGGAAUUACUGGGCGUAAAGCGCACGUAGGCGGCUAUUUAAGUCAGGGGUGAAAUCCCGGGGCUCAACCCCGGAACUGCCUUUGAUACUGGGUAUCUCGAGUCCGAGAGAGGUGAGUGGAAUUCCGAGUGUAGAGGUGAAAUUCGUAGAUAUUCGGAGGAACACCAGUGGCGAAGGCGGCUCACUGGCUCGGUACUGACGCUGAGGUGCGAAAGCGUGGGGAGCAAACAGG
This 253-nucleotide ribosomal RNA is filed under the name uncultured bacterium. RNAcentral describes it as "partial 16S ribosomal RNA". It matches the Rfam family "Bacterial small subunit ribosomal RNA", at positions 524 to 776 of the family's 1533-position model. The record is from RNAcentral.